Molecule: long non-coding RNA, 562 nt
Organism: Venturia canescens
Lineage: Eukaryota; Metazoa; Arthropoda; Insecta; Hymenoptera; Ichneumonidae
Exons: 3
Source: RefSeq, a predicted model, not a curated record
AUUAUUUUCCCGAGCGGUUAAAGUACCUGUGAAGCCCGACAUGAUGAACGAGAAGCCACGAGAUAAGAAUCACUGAAGAAAUUUAAGAGGAGCAAACGUUGAAAAUAAACGGUAUUUGGACAGGCAAACAGAAAAAAAUGGGCCCAACGCGCACACACUGAGGAGGGAAACAACGAAAUCGACUCGCAUGAAUGGCGGACGCGCACACUGGGUUUUACGUUAUUGCGCUUGCGCACAUUUUAUUAAUAGAUCUUUAGUAUGUCGUCACUUUAGACCAAUCGCUGUCUGUUUUUUCCGUUCAUACUUGCUUAUAAUGCGAAGCUGCUACGAUAUAUUUGCGUGUAGUGCUGUAUUAUAUCACCUUUCCGGAAACGCUCAUUCUGUUAUCAGACUCAAAUUCUCUCGUAAAAAGUAAACACCAAAAUUGUAUUCAUGCUUUUUUUCGAUAAACCAGAAAACCAUUCGCUGUCACUGCGCUCUUCUCCUUCCCGCUAUUUUAUUUCUGAGCUCGAGAAUUCAACUUUUCGUUUUCCCGCCAACUAAUCAGUUAUAUGAUCGUUUC